Pocillopora damicornis (cauliflower coral) is the source of this 884-nucleotide long non-coding RNA. Lineage: Eukaryota; Metazoa; Cnidaria; Anthozoa; Scleractinia; Pocilloporidae. The record is from RefSeq and is a predicted model, not a curated record.
GGAAUUUUGUGAGGUUCGCAUUGAGAUACCCUGUCGAGAUAAGUACUUUGGUGCUUCAAGUAUAGGCGUCUGUGGUCCGUGUAAAUGUGAAGUGGGGAAUGAAUCUGAGUCCAGUUUGUAACAAGUCUACAGGAGAGUGCUACUGUAAUGCAAAGCACCAUCGAAAGGUUGUAAGCUACACAUUCUCGGGGUGCCCCUGUGUUUAGUGAUGGCUGUCUCAGAUGUGACUGUGAAGAGAUUGGUAGUACUGGUGAUCAGUGUGCUACAGAGAAUGGCGAGUGCCCUUGUCUUAGAGGCCGAAGGGGAGGGAAUAAUGUGGUCGGAAGGCGUUGUAAUCAGUGCGAAGACAAACAGGGUCAGAUUGUGAGUGGUAAAGGCUGGGUGGUUAUUACCUCAUCACGUCCAAGAGCAUUUGCUGAGGAAAUAUGUUGAAAGAAAGCCGCGUUUGGGACAACAGCAAAAGAAAAAUGCCCAUCGGAUCAUCGGGUUUGUGUUUUGAUGAACUUAAGUUUUUCGAAAAUUUUGUGAUUUCACCAUCUAUGCCGUUGUUUUUUAAACUUGUUGAUGAAAUGUUGUGUUAGAAGGUAAUUGUUUGUAUCAUGUUAUAUCUGUGUUAAACCAUACAAUUUCUAGUUUUAGUCACUCUCGUAGCAAGUCGAUUUGCUGAUUAGUCAUUAUUUUAUAUAUGUAUUUGUUCUGCUUUGAAGGCCGUAAGUUAGAUAACUCAUUGGGUUGAUUACGUCACCUUCGUUAAAUGAAGAAUAUUGUAUUGUAUUGUAAACUCUAGUGCGAAAGUCAUCGAGCGCUUCUUUGAUGUGUUACUAAACAAGGCAUUUACCACUGUUAAGUCAGUGAAUGAAACCAAAUUACGUGAUAUUCACGAA